Molecule: long non-coding RNA, 599 nt
Filed under: Carica papaya (papaya)
Lineage: Eukaryota; Viridiplantae; Streptophyta; Magnoliopsida; Brassicales; Caricaceae
Description: long non-coding RNA (CPAP_LNC016172)
Source: RNAcentral
GUCCAGAUUCACUCCCUAUUUAAUCGCGAUCGGAUGGUUCAAAUCAAACGCGAUGGACAACCCAGAUCAAAAGCGGAUGGAUAUAAAUAACUCUCAUUCGUACCAAACCCUAACCUUAGCUGCUAGAACCCCUCGCUAGAGAAAAAGACCUGGCCGCCGGGAAGGAGACCACUGCCACCCGACGCUGCACCGGAACCCUUUUUGACCGCCAAAAAAAGGCAAAAACUUCCCUUUUUACUCAAAAUUAAAUUUUAAGCACACUCAUGGCCAAAUCAGAGCAAAAAGACUAGCCAAUUAGGCCAAUUGGCCGAAAAACAUCAGCGAAAUCUGGCGAUGCCACUACGUGGAAUUUCACAAAACGCCUUCGAUGAGGCCCUUUCUAAUUCCUAUUUGGUGUAAUUUUGCCACUAUCAUGAUCAUCGUGUCCUUCUCUACAGGUUUACCAUAGCAAAACACACAACCACAAUGUGAGCCAGAGGAGUCACCGUACCGGAGAGCCCCACCACCAGUGAGUUUUGGUUUUUUGUAUUUUUUCGGCCAACCGAUGUCCUUUAACAUAUUUUUUCGCAGGGAUCGAUGCAAAAUUGGUCGAAUUCAGC